This 73-nucleotide transfer RNA is filed under the name Camelus bactrianus (Bactrian camel). It matches the Rfam family "tRNA". Rfam says of the family: Transfer RNA (tRNA) molecules are approximately 80 nucleotides in length. The record is from Rfam by way of RNAcentral. Lineage: Eukaryota; Metazoa; Chordata; Mammalia; Artiodactyla; Camelidae. RNAcentral also lists the same sequence under 2 other names.
GAGGGUAUAGCUCAGUGGUAAGAGUGUGUGCUUAGCAUGUGCGAGGUCCUGGGUUCAAUCCCCAGUGCCUCCG